This is a long non-coding RNA of Pipistrellus kuhlii (Kuhl's pipistrelle), 234 nucleotides long. RefSeq lists it as uncharacterized. NCBI's taxonomy places the organism in Eukaryota, Metazoa, Chordata, Mammalia, Chiroptera, Vespertilionidae. The record is from RefSeq and is a predicted model, not a curated record. The transcript is spliced from 2 exons.
AGCCUCCAGGCCUUGGGCAGCCAGACAGGGGUCCCUGGGGGCCAGGCUCUGAGGGGGAGAGCCUGUCCCCAGGGCUGGCUGGUAGAUAGAAGCAUGUGGGAGGCUCAGAGGAGGGCAGAGACUGCAGAGAACACGUGGGGCUGGAGUUCACGUGUGGGAAGUUUCUCCACAGACUCAACUAAUAAAAGUGGCCUCUUCGGGCGACAUUCUGUGCGAAAAGCAGCUUUCAAGCUG